CAAGUGCGAGUUUCUAUCUUCUCCUUUCGAAAAAAACCAAACCUUUAAAACGAAUUUAUAGCAAAGUCUGUUUUUUUUUUUCCAAAGAAACUGAAAGAUAAUUUGACUUCGGGACUGGCUGAAAAUUGGAGAAACCAGAAGGUUUAGUUACCCCAACUGUUAGUCGGAAACUCGAUCCCCGGUGAGAGAGCGUAAUUUCGCCGGGGAAGAAAGUUAAUCGAAGCAAAAAUCGCAUGAUCUGGUCUUACGCGUGUCUAAUCUUGACCGUUCAUCUUUAGAAGACUUGUCGGCCCGAAUAUCUCAUUUGUACUUUGCUAUUUGAUGUCAGAAAUAGAUUUAGCCCCCUCACGUUCAACGCCAAAGGUUCAACUGAAGUGACCACUCUAUCUCUAUGUUAUGUAGCUUUUUGGUGUUUUUUUUUUUUUAGCGAAUGAGCAGAACCCAAAUCACUUUGCUUAGAUAACAUUCUAAAUAGCUGUAAUAUUAUUAAGUUGCGCUUCAAACUUGACAUUCACAAAUUUCUUUUCAAGAUAAAAGCUCAGUUAAACAACUCUCACUUGUCCCUCGAUUUAGUUUUGAUAAUUAAACAAAAGUGAGUAAUAU
RNAcentral lists this long non-coding RNA (603 nucleotides) under Brassica napus (rape). RNAcentral's name for it is "long non-coding RNA (BNAP_LNC012793)". Lineage: Eukaryota; Viridiplantae; Streptophyta; Magnoliopsida; Brassicales; Brassicaceae. The record is from RNAcentral.